AACAACAGAUAGAUUAUCCUAUUGUGAGGCAGCACAAACAUGCAAUCAGAAACUAAGCAGCAUGAAGCCAAUCAAAAGUAGACCACAGUAACAACUCAACAUUAUAAAUUACAUGGAUCCACACCACCAAGAAAUGGAGAUAAACUCCAAAGAUUAUAUGCAUACAGAAGAGUGUUAGGAGAUAACAUGUGAAAGGAAAUAAGACAAACAUAGUCUUUAUGAAGGUUCAACCACAAAGUUGUCAUUAAUGACUUGAAUCACAAAGCCAUAAUUAGCAGGACACAAGAUGUAAGAAAAUUAUACUUAACUGACGUAAACAUCACCUCUAAAAUUCCAAGC
RNAcentral lists this long non-coding RNA (339 nucleotides) under Phoenix dactylifera (date palm). Its description in RNAcentral is "long non-coding RNA (PDAC_LNC021011)". The record is from RNAcentral. Lineage: Eukaryota; Viridiplantae; Streptophyta; Magnoliopsida; Arecales; Arecaceae.